GAUGAACGCUGGCGGCGUGCCUAAUACAUGCAAGUCGAGCGAACAGAUGAGGAGCUUGCUCCUCUGACGUUAGCGGCGGACGGGUGAGUAACACGUGGAUAACCUACCUAUAAGACUGGGAUAACUUCGGGAAACCGGAGCUAAUACCGGAUAAUAUAUUGAACCGCAUGGUUCAAUAGUGAAAGACGGUUUUGCUGUCACUUAUAGAUGGAUCCGCGCCGCAUUAGCUAGUUGGUAAGGUAACGGCUUACCAAGGCGACGAUGCGUAGCCGACCUGAGAGGGUGAUCGGCCACACUGGAACUGAGACACGGUCCAGACUCCUACGGGAGGCAGCAGUAGGGAAUCUUCCGCAAUGGGCGAAAGCCUGACGGAGCAACGCCGCGUGAGUGAUAAAGGUCUUCGGAUCGUAAAACUCUGUUAUUAGGGAAGAACAAAUGUGUAAGUAACUAUGCACGUCUUGACGGUACCUAAUCAGAAAGCCACGGCUAACUACGUG
Molecule: ribosomal RNA, 497 nt
Filed under: uncultured bacterium
Lineage: Bacteria
Description: partial 16S ribosomal RNA
Rfam family: Bacterial small subunit ribosomal RNA
Source: RNAcentral